UUCCGGUUGAUCCUGCCGGACCCGACUGCUAUUUGGGUGAGAAUAAGCCAUGCGAGUUGAAUGGGAUACCUAAAGUUCCCAUAGCAAACUGCUCAGUAACACAUGAUCAACUUACCCUAUAGAGAAAAAUAACCUCGGGAAACUGAGGAUAAUGUUUCAUAAUUGAAUUGGCUUGGAAAAGUUUUUCAAUGAAAGGGAUAAAAAAAAUGGUUUUUAUCUGCUAUAGGAUAGGAUCGUAUUCGAUUAUGGUUGUUGGUGAGAUAAUGGCUCACCAAGCCGAUAAUCGAUAGGGGCCGUGAGAGCGGGAGCCCCGAGAUGGGUACUGAGACAACGACCCAGGCCUUACGAGGCGCAGCAGGCGCGGAACCUCCGCAAUACACGAAAGUGUGACGGGGUUACCCAAAGUGUUCAAUAGAACUGUGGUAGGUGAGUAAUGUUCCCUACUAGAAAGGAGAGGGCAAGGCUGGUGCCAGCCGCCGCGGUAAAACCAGCUCUUCAAGUGGUCGGGAUAAUUAUUGGGCUUAAAGUGUCCGUAGCCGGUUUAGUAAGUUCCUGGUAAAAUCGGGUAGCUUAACUAUCUGCAUGCUAGGAAUACUGCUAUACUAGAGGGCGGGAGAGGUCUGAGGUACUACAGGGGUAGGGGUGAAAUCUUAUAAUCCUUGUAGGACCACCAGUGGCGAAGGCGUCAGACUGGAACGCGCCUGACGGUGAGGGACGAAAGCCAGGGGAGCGAACCGGAUUAGAUACCCGGGUAGUCCUGGCCGUAAACGAUGCAUACUAGGUGAUGGUACGGCCAUGAGCCGUAUCAGUGCCGUAGGGAAACCGUUAAGUGUGCCGCCUGGGAAGUACGGUCGCAAGGCUAAAACUUAAAGGAAUUGGCGGGGGAGCACCACAAGGGGUGAAGCCUGCGGUUCAAUUGGACUCAACGCCGGA
RNAcentral lists this ribosomal RNA (933 nucleotides) under uncultured archaeon. Its description in RNAcentral is "bacterial SSU rRNA". It matches the Rfam family "Archaeal small subunit ribosomal RNA", at positions 1 to 922 of the family's 1478-position model. The record is from RNAcentral.